AAUGCUACGCUUUAGCUGGUUGAAUCCGGGCCAAAUUGUGCAAGAGUUGAAGACAUUUGGUCCCCUUCAACCAGCUGUAGUUGGCAUUCCGA
RNAcentral lists this microRNA precursor (92 nucleotides) under Zootermopsis nevadensis. Its description in RNAcentral is "mir-133 microRNA precursor family". The stretch from base 7 to 83 matches the Rfam family "mir-133 microRNA precursor family". From Rfam's summary of the family: mir-133 was first experimentally characterised in mouse and homologues have since been discovered in several other species. The mature sequence is excised from the 3' arm of the hairpin. The record is from RNAcentral. Lineage: Eukaryota; Metazoa; Arthropoda; Insecta; Blattodea; Termopsidae.